GACGAACGCUGGCGGCGUGCUUAACACAUGCAAGUCGAACGGAAAGGCCCUGCUUUUGUGGGGUGCUCGAGUGGCGAACGGGUGAGUAACACGUGAGUAACCUGCCCUUGACUUUGGGAUAACUUCAGGAAACUGGGGCUAAUACCGGAUAGGAGCUCCUGCUGCAUGGUGGGGGUUGGAAAGUUUCGGCGGUUGGGGAUGGACUCGCGGCUUAUCAGCUUGUUGGUGGGGUAGUGGCUUACCAAGGCUUUGACGGGUAGCCGGCCUGAGAGGGUGACCGGCCACAUUGGGACUGGGGUGCGGCCCAGACUCCUACGGGAGGCAGCAGUGGGGAAUAUUGCACAAUGGGCGGAAGCCUGAUGCAGCAACGCCGCGUGCGGGAUGACGGCCUUCGGGUUGUAACCCGCUUUCGCCUGUGACGAAGCGUGAGUGACGGUAAUGGGUAAAGAAGCACCGGCUAACUACGUG
Molecule: ribosomal RNA, 468 nt
Filed under: uncultured bacterium
Lineage: Bacteria
Description: partial 16S ribosomal RNA
Rfam family: Bacterial small subunit ribosomal RNA
Source: RNAcentral